Non-coding RNA from Ictidomys tridecemlineatus (thirteen-lined ground squirrel), 72 nucleotides. Lineage: Eukaryota; Metazoa; Chordata; Mammalia; Rodentia; Sciuridae. The record is from Rfam.
GGUAUCGUGGCUUAGUGGUUGAGUGCUUGCCUCCCAUGCAUGAGGCACUGGGUUUGAUCCUCAGCACCACCU